AAGCGGAGGAAAAGAAACUAACAAGGAUUCCCCUAGUAACGGCGAGUGAAGCGGGAAGAGCUCAAAUUUGAAAUCUGGCAGUCUUCGAUUGUCCGAGUUGUAAUCUAUAGAGGCGUUUUCCGUGCCGGACCGUGUCCAAGUCUCCUGGAAAGGAGUAUCAAAGAGGGUGAUAAUCCCGUACUUAACACGACCACCGGUGCUCUGUGAUACGUCUUCUACGAGUCGAGUUGUUUGGGAAUGCAGCUCAAAAUGGGUGGUGAAUUCCAUCUAAAGCUAAAUAUUGGCGAGAGACCGAUAGCGAACAAGUACCGUGAGGGAAAGAUGAAAAGCACUUUGGAAAGAGAGUUAAACAGUACGUGAAAUUGUUGAAAGGGAAACGAUUGAAGUCAGUCGUGUUCUUUGGAUUCAGCCAGUUCUGCUGGUCUACUUCCUUUGAACGGGUCAACAUCAGUUUUGUCCGGUGGAUAAAGGCAGUAGGAAUGUAGCUUCUCCGGAAGUGUUAUAGCCUAUUGUCACAUACACUGGGUGAGACUGAGGACUGCAGCUCGCCUUUAUGGCCGACCUUCGGGUACGUUCGAGCUUAGGAUGUUGACAUAAUGGCUUUAAACGACCCGUCUUG
This 619-nucleotide ribosomal RNA is filed under the name Trichosporon coremiiforme. RNAcentral's name for it is "eukaryotic LSU rRNA". It matches the Rfam family "Eukaryotic large subunit ribosomal RNA", at positions 48 to 656 of the family's 3401-position model. Lineage: Eukaryota; Fungi; Basidiomycota; Tremellomycetes; Trichosporonales; Trichosporonaceae. The record is from RNAcentral.